Molecule: unclassified non-coding RNA, 334 nt
Filed under: uncultured Glomeraceae
Lineage: Eukaryota; Fungi; Glomeromycota; Glomeromycetes; Glomerales; Glomeraceae
Description: sequence contains 18S rRNA gene
Source: RNAcentral
CCCAACUAUCCCUAUUAAUCAUUACGGUGGUCCUAGAAACCAACAAAAUAAGAUCAAACGUCCUAUUUCGUUAUUCCAUGCUAAUCUAUUCAAGCUUUAGCCUGCUUUAAACACUCUAAUUUUUUCAAAGUAACAGUCCUGAUUCCCCACGACACCAAAUUAAUGACAUCGUGGUUCGUCAGAAGGGAGGAACUGGUAGAACCAGUACGUACCGGAGGCACGACCGACUCACCCGUCCCGAAGUUCAACUACGAGCUUUUUAACUGCAACAACUUUAAUAUACGCUAUUGGAGCUGGAAUUACCGCGGCUGCUGGCACCAGACUUGCCCUCCAA